AGGGUUUGAUUCUGGCUCAGGAUGAACGCUAGCUACAGGCUUAACACAUGCAAGUCGAGGGGCAUCGGGGGAGAGCUUCGGCUUUCCCGCCGGCGACCGGCGCACGGGUGAGUAACGCGUAUCCAACCUGCCCAUGGCUGGGGGAUAACCUUGCGAAAGCAAGCCUAAUACCCCAUGGCCUCAUCCCGGGGCAUCCCGGUUUGAGUAAAGGAUUCCCGGCCAUGGAUGGGGAUGCGUCCGAUUAGCUUGCCGGUGGGGUGACGGCCCACCGGGGCGACGAUCGGUAGGGGUUCUGAGAGGAAGGUCCCCCACACUGGAACUGAGACACGGUCCAG
This 335-nucleotide ribosomal RNA is filed under the name uncultured bacterium. Its description in RNAcentral is "bacterial SSU rRNA". It matches the Rfam family "Bacterial small subunit ribosomal RNA", at positions 8 to 334 of the family's 1533-position model. The record is from RNAcentral.